AUUCAAUUAGAUUCCUGUUUUGAUCUCCUUCUUCUAAAUCAUCAAUUAUUUUAGUAUUUUCUUCUUCUUUUUUCGUUACUCAAAAGGGUUUUGUUGAUUUUUCAUUUUUGGUUUUCAAAUUUUAAAUCAGUCAAUUAGGCUACUAUAAUAUGCAUUGAUAACUCAGAAUGGAUGCGAAACGACGAUUAUUCUCCAUCUCGAUUUCAAGCCCAAUCUGAUACUGUUAGUCUUAUCUGUGGAGCUAAAACCCAGGCAAAAUGAUUGCCUUUUAAUGGAAUGUAAAAUUAUGGGAAUUUGAUUUCGUUUCAUGAAUUAAUGGCAGUCUAAUCUGAAGAAUAUGGUGGGGAUUUUGACUAUGGCGGGAAAAGGAGUACGUGUAUUGGCUACUCCUACUAGUGAACUUUGAAAAAUCUUGUCUUGCAUGCAUGGUACUUAUUUUUUUCAGUCAUGUUUGGAGACUAUUAGAACCUUAGAAGUACGUGUAUUGCUUUACCAUUGCAUUCCUAAAGAGAGAACUUGGGUUCGAACUUAGAACCUUAGAGACAAACCCAAAAGUUAGUCUUUAUGAACUUAUAACGGACAUGGAGGAUACUUUGUUUCCUUCUAAUAAGAGAAAUUGACUUAUAUGUUGAAGGAAAACAACAUUAAUAGUUUUACGGCUUGUUAUUUGGAUCAUACGAGUACUUUACUUUACUUAACUUUAGCAAAUCUGUACCAUGACCUAUGUAAAGCAUGCAGUUCUGUGAGAAAUCCAUGUUUGAUAACCUCUGUGAAAGACGAGCAGCUUUUUUAUUAGAGUUUAGAAAUGAAGAAUUUGUCAUUGCUGUUGGGUUUCAGGAGUUAUAUUUAGUGUAGCUUGUCAUUUUUAUGCAAAAGUAGCAUGUAAUUAAUGAGUAAUCUAUGAUAUUUUAUUUACAUAUUUCUGAAUUAAAGGUCAUAUUCCUUCCACUCUAUUAUCUAUGUCAUCAUCGUUACCUUCUUAUUCUCUAUGUACGUUUCAAUGCAUACAUGUCUUGAAAUGGGGGGAGAGAUGAACCUAGAAGCUGGAAUUCAGAUUGCUUAGUUGGCUCUAAAACAUCGCCAAAACAAAAAUCAGCAGCAAAGGAUUAUAGUUUUUGCUGGAAGGGACUCGUAGCUUCAGCAAUGGUGUUUGCUAUACAAAUAUAUGUUGUUGAUAGAGGAGGCCCUUUGUCUCAAUGUAUUUGCCUCUGCAAACCUUACUUGCGGCUUUAAUAGUUGUUGUUACAUUGGGUGAAGAAUUCUACUUGGGAGGGGUAGUAGGAGCAGCAUUGAUAAUAGUUGGAUUGUAUCUGGUUAUCCUAGGAAAAAGUGAAGAGAGCAAGUAUCUGUCUGAAAAUGAACCAAUUUAUUCAGUGUCUGAAAAUAAUGACAUGGAAUCCACCUUCAUUCGGCCAUUGCUGGGAAAUAAAUUGCAGAGCUGAGGCAAAUGGAUGAAUUUUCAUAUCAGCUCCAUGGCAAAGUCAGUCAUCCAAUCCACACUAAUGCCAUUUGAAGCAGCUUGCUGCUAUUGAAAUUGAAAGACAACAAAUGUAAAUGAUGGAGUUUCCAACAAUUGAAAUGGGAAAAGAAAAGUUGAAUUGUAUUUAUAUAUGUUUAUUUGACCCUGUUGGUUUGGAUCAUCAUUUUGUGAAGAAAUUCAAUGGUAGUUGCAACUUUUU
This is a long non-coding RNA of Gossypium raimondii (Peruvian cotton), 1679 nucleotides long. RefSeq lists it as uncharacterized. The record is from RefSeq and is a predicted model, not a curated record. The transcript has 3 exons. Lineage: Eukaryota; Viridiplantae; Streptophyta; Magnoliopsida; Malvales; Malvaceae.